Molecule: ribosomal RNA, 460 nt
Filed under: uncultured bacterium
Lineage: Bacteria
Description: partial 16S ribosomal RNA
Rfam family: Bacterial small subunit ribosomal RNA
Source: RNAcentral
CCUACGGGAGGCAGCAGUGAGGAAUAUUGGUCAAUGGGCGCGAGCCUGAACCAGCCAAGUCGCGUGAGGGAUGACGGCCCUACGGAUUGUAAACUUCUUUUAUAAGGGAAUAAAGUGUGGUACGUGUCCCAUUUUGUAUGUACCUUAUGAAUAAGGAUCGGCUAACUCCGUGCCAGCAGCCGCGGUAAUACGGAGGGGCCCAGCGUUGUCCGGAGUUAUUGGGUGUAAAGGGCGUGUAGCCGGGCUUGCAAGUCAGAUGUGAAAUUUGGGGGCUCAACCCCCGUACUGCAUUUGAAACUGGUGGUCUUGAGUAUGGGAGAGGCAGGCGGAAUGCGUGGUGUAGCGGUGAAAUGCGUAGAUAUUAGGAAGAACACCGGUGGCGAAGGCAGCCUGCUGGACCCCAACUGACGGUGAGGCGCGAAAGCGUGGGGAGCGAACAGGAUUAGAUACCCGUGUAGUC